Molecule: ribosomal RNA, 253 nt
Filed under: uncultured bacterium
Lineage: Bacteria
Description: partial 16S ribosomal RNA
Rfam family: Bacterial small subunit ribosomal RNA
Source: RNAcentral
UACGUAGGGGGCAAGCGUUGUCCGGAUUUAUUGGGCGUAAAGAGCGUGUAGGCGGCCAGGUAGGUCGGUUGUGAAAACUCGAGGCUCAACCUCGAGAUGUCGACCGAAACCAUCUGGCUAGAGUCCGGAAGAGGAGAAUGGAAUUCCCGGUGUAGCGGUGAAAUGCGCAGAUAUCGGGAAGAACACCCGUGGCGAAGGCGGUUCUCUGGGACGGUACUGACGCUGAGACGCGACAGCGUGGGGAGCAAACAGG